RNAcentral lists this ribosomal RNA (248 nucleotides) under Klebsiella pneumoniae. RNAcentral's name for it is "partial 23S ribosomal RNA". It matches the Rfam family "Bacterial large subunit ribosomal RNA", at positions 2695 to 2925 of the family's 2925-position model. The record is from RNAcentral. Lineage: Bacteria; Pseudomonadati; Pseudomonadota; Gammaproteobacteria; Enterobacterales; Enterobacteriaceae.
GAGUGGACGCAUCACUGGUGUUCGGGUUGUCAUGCCAAUGGCACUGCCCGGUAGCUAAAUGCGGAAGAGAUAAGUGCUGAAAGCAUCUAAGCACGAAACUUGCCCCGAGAUGAGUUCUCCCUGAGACUAUAAGUCUCCUGAAGGAACGUUAAAGACGAUGACGUUGAUAGGCCGGGUGUGUAAGCGCAGCGAUGCGUUGAGCUAACCGGUACUAAUGAACCGUGAGGCUUAACCUUACAACGCCGAAG